AACGAACGCUGGCGGCAGGCUUAACACAUGCAAGUCGAACGCACCUUUCGGGGUGAGUGGCCGACGGGUGAGUAACGCGUGGGAAUCUACCCUUCUCUACGGGAUAGCUCCGGGAAACUGGAAUUAAUACCGUAUACGUCCUGAGGGAGAAAGAUUUAUCGGGGAAGGAUGAGCCCGCGUUGGAUUAGCUAGUUGGUGGGGUAAAGGCCUACCAAGGCGACGAUCCAUAGCUGGUCUAAGAGGAUGAUCAGCCACAUUGGGACUGAGACACGGCCCAAACUCCGACGGGAGGCAGCAGUGGGGAAUAGUGGACAAUGGGCGCAAGCCUGAUCCAGCCAUGCCGCGUGAGUGAUGAAGGCCCUAGGGUUGUAAAGCUCUUUCAGUGGGGACGAUAAUGACGGUACCCACAGAAGAAGCCCCGGCUAACUUCG
RNAcentral lists this ribosomal RNA (431 nucleotides) under uncultured bacterium. Its description in RNAcentral is "partial 16S ribosomal RNA". It matches the Rfam family "Bacterial small subunit ribosomal RNA", at positions 29 to 505 of the family's 1533-position model. The record is from RNAcentral.